CUUUUUUUUAAUAAACAUAGCAGUUUCAGAGAAAUCCAGCCUCUAAAGCCUCUAGUGGCUGUCUCAUUGACAUCCGCUAGAGGCAUUUGCGUGCUUCUCACUGUGAAAAUCACAGUGAGAAGACGUCAGCGUCCAUAUAAAUGCUUUCCUAUGAGACUGGCUGAAUGCGCACGCAGCUCCUGCCGCGCAUGCGCAUUUAGCCGAAGAGGAGGAUCGGAGGCGGAGAGGAGGAGGAGAGCUCCCUGCCCGGCGCCGGAAAAAAGGUAAGAUUCAACCCUUUCCUCUCCCCAGAGCCCUCAGGGCACUAUAGUGCCAGGGAAAUGAGUAUGUUUUCCUUGCACUAUUGUGGUCCUUUUAUAGAAAGUAGAAUUUUUUUUUGCCAUUUUCUUUUGUUUUAUAUCAUUUCUGAUAAGGAGAUUUACAGGAUUAUUCUAGUUGAUAAUUCAAAGUGAAUUCAAAAUUUAAGUUCUCAGUAAAUUGAAUUCGGAACAUUCUCUUUCAGCUAUGUUUUCAAAUUGGAUACUCUGGCCUAUUUAAAAUUCACUUUGAAUUCUCACUUUGGUAAGUGACACAGCUAGUCUAUAUUUAUUUGUAAAGCUGAACAAUUUAUUAGAAACUUUGUUUUAAUAAUUUAAUAUUUCAACACUUUUCUAUUACGACAUUUGCUGCAUUUUGAUGUUAGUAAAACGAAUAUGAUAUAAUGUACAUAGUUCACAGAUAUUUUUAGAAAAACAAAAAUUCUAGAAUUUUUUAUUUUUUCUGAAACAAUAAUUCAUCUGUUUUCUUUGGUGACCUGUCAAACAUGGGUAAUCAAAUUAGGUCAGCUGAAAACAGGACCUCUCCCUUUGCUAAAGAAAAAUGUAUAGGCUGCUGCUACUUAGAUUUGCUAUAAAUACCUGAUGAGUGUUAUCCACUACAAAAAAAACCAAAAAACAUAGAACAAGGGCAUUAAAAAUGACUUCUAUAGUCCGCAACGCAUCGUACUUAUGUGCCUGACGGCAAUGUUAGAGCAAAAAAACAACUACACAUUUCCAUUGCUGUUUUUUUAUGAUUCUUGCAACAUUUGAUCUCUAGACAUCUUUGAAAUUGUUCCAGAACUCUUAUGGCAGUUUUCUGAUUCUGGCAUAUUUAUAAUGGGAUAGCAUUACUGAAAGUCUGGUACUUUGCAGUAUGGUACUUUGCAGUAACUCUUCUUGUGCCAAAGAUAUGAGAAAUGCAUAGUACAGCACUCAACAAUGUAAACCUGGCUUUGUGUGUGUAUAUGUAUCUAUCGUAGACAGAAUCCAUUGAUCUGACCAGUCACUGCGGAAUAUUCAAACCAAAUCUGAGGGUGUGAUCAAUAUGGGUUUCAUUUUUAUCUUUUAACUGACAGCAGAUGUUUAUGGGGUUUCAUAAAACAUAUAUACUGUCAUUUUAUUUAUUCUGCCUUUCAUAUGUUCAGAGUGUGGGUCCCACAAAUGAAGGGCUGGCUCCAACUUGGAUUUUUCGUUUCCCAAGGCAAUGUAAUACAGAACUGUAAUAAUAAUUAUAUAGUUCAUAGGAUUGUAGAUUUGGCCCAAACAUGUUGCUAAAUCACAAUAAAUGUCAAGAUUCAUGACCACAUUACUUGUAGGAUCUUUGAUGGGAAGAGCAGAGCUUCUGACAAAAGUAAAACAUUUUAUUUUCUAUUUAUUUUAUGACAGUAGACAUAUUAAAAAAAAAAAAAAAAGUUUACUAUUUGACCCAUUACUGUUCUCCCUGCUUUAUUAACACAAUUACAUUAUUGCAGAACAGCAUGAAUUGUUUUAAUAUAUCUGUAGAUUGAUAACAAAUCAUGGAAUGCUUGUCUUACUAGUUAAACAGUAUCUUAAGGCUAAUAAGAUAUUAAACAAAAGAAAAGUUAAAAAAACUUUUUCUAAGUAUGUGCUUGUCUGGUUAAAUAUUAUAUACAUAUUUAAUUUCCAACACUAAAUUAUUUCGGAAUCCAAAAGAGUAAUUUCUGCGAUACUGGAAUGAUGCUCAGCCAAGAAUGAAAGAAUGAAGAAUGACCAUCACAGUUGUAAAUUGGGAAAAUAAAUCAAAAAUCAUUGAUCACCUAAAUAUAUUUCCAUAAGCAAAAUGACUAUUGGCCUUGCAUUACUUUGGUCAAUGCAUGCACCUUAUACAUAAACUUAACAAGUAAAGAAAUACAUUUUCUAUUUAGACAAAUGUACUAGAGCCUUAUUUGUUUUUAGAAUUUAUGUGACUCUACAUCACUUUGUAAAACACCUUGAACUCAAAGCAAAGUAAACUACAAUAAAUAUAUACCCUUAAUGUUCAGCUUAGUUCUGAUGUUUCUCUUUUGACCCAAGAUAGACAACAUUACUCCUUUUUCAACCAUUGUACUUGUUGUGCAUCCCUAUAAAUGCCUGGUUUAAUAGGGUCAGUUUAUCAUAUUUCCCAAAAGUCCCGGUUCUAUCAGGAUUCUCCCAGGUUGGCUCCAUGGUGUUGCACAUGCAGUGACAUAAAAUAACUGCCCACCCUACAAGUGCAAUAAGGGGGCAUCAUAGGGUGUGAUUGUGCUGUAAUAAAUGUCAGGGCUCUAGGAUAGAGGGCUUUAGUAGCCCUCAUCUGCCUUGAGUGGGGACAGCUAGUCACCAGGUACUAUGAGUAUUAACUUAAU
Molecule: non-coding RNA, 2641 nt
Organism: Pelobates cultripes (western spadefoot toad)
Lineage: Eukaryota; Metazoa; Chordata; Amphibia; Anura; Pelobatidae
Source: the annotation of a GenBank genome assembly